UACGAAGGGGGCUAGCGUUGCUCGGAAUUACUGGGCGUAAAGCGCACGUAGGCGGCUUUCUAAGUCGGGGGUGAAAUCCUGGAGCUCAACUCCAGAACUGCCUUCGAUACUGGAGAGCUCGAGUCCGGGAGAGGUGAGUGGAACUGCGAGUGUAGAGGUGAAAUUCGUAGAUAUUCGCAAGAACACCAGUGGCGAAGGCGGCUCACUGGCUCGUAACUGACGCUCAUGCACGACAGCGUGGGGAUCAAACAGG
This 253-nucleotide ribosomal RNA is filed under the name uncultured bacterium. RNAcentral's name for it is "partial 16S ribosomal RNA". It matches the Rfam family "Bacterial small subunit ribosomal RNA", at positions 524 to 776 of the family's 1533-position model. The record is from RNAcentral.